UUUAUGCUUUUAGAAGUAUAGCAGCAUUUGUAGUAUUAAGUUAUUUUUUAUGCUAGAACUUUCGAAUCGAUAAUUAGCUCUAUUAAAUUUGAUAUGAAAUAUUUGAAGUAAUUAGAAAAUACAUUUCGUGAUUUCGUGAAUUUUUUUUUGGGAAAACUUCAAAAACCCCCCCUGUGGUUUCAUGCAUUCUCACUUUGCUACCCUGUGGUUUAAAACGUAUCAAUUUGCCCCCCUGUGGUUUCGUUUUUAUCUUUUUGUUAUCAAUUUUAUUAUUAUUUUUUUUUAAAAUCAGUGACAAAGUUAAAAUUAAAGGAUACUAAAGUGACUAUUUGAUAAAUAUAGAUGGUUAUCUGAAGUUUUUUGUAUAUAAUUUAACAAAAUAUUAACGAAAAAGCUUCCGAAAAGAUAAAAAUGAAACCACAGGAGGGUAAAUUGAUAUGUUUUAAACCACAGGGUAGCAAAGUGAGAAUGCACGAAACCACAGGGGGGGUUUUUGAAGUUUUCCCUUUUUUUUUAUACCAAAUACCUAGUGACCGACGGAGCCUAAAAUUAGUAAUUUGAUAAUCAUGGUAAACCAUUUGCAGAUUUAAUGGUCUAAAAAUAUUCAAAUCACGUAUUUUAUAAAUUAUAUCGAAAAUUAAUUUAUGAGAUUUAUUUUCUAAAUAUUUUUACUACUCUAGAUUAAGCCAAAUGGAAUCGAUCGUCAAUCCGAAAAUUCUAACAUAAAAAACGACUUGAUAGUACGAAAACUAAAGUGCUUUCAGAAGUACGUAUACAAGCCGAUGGCUAUAUAGAUAGUUAUAUAUUG
Molecule: long non-coding RNA, 808 nt
Filed under: Ananas comosus (pineapple)
Lineage: Eukaryota; Viridiplantae; Streptophyta; Magnoliopsida; Poales; Bromeliaceae
Description: long non-coding RNA (ACOM_LNC015178)
Source: RNAcentral